UGGCAAUUGUUAAAAAAAAGUCUGAAAAGGGAUAUCGCCUGGCCACAAAACAUGGUAUCUUUCUUGCACUAACCAGUUCAAGGAAACAAAUUCCCAUUUUUUUUUUUUGGGGGGGGGGGUGGUACCUUCAGAUAUUUUUACUGAACACUUAUUUCUCUUAGGCGUGUCGUUAAAAUCUGAUUCGAUAUGCGCAGGAAAAUGUUUUUUUAAAAUGUGGAUAUUGUGGUAAAAACAGAUGUGAAGCAUAUUAUUUUAAUAUAUUGUGUUUCACAUUUUAAUAUAGUGUGCCUA
Molecule: long non-coding RNA, 291 nt
Filed under: Mytilus galloprovincialis (Mediterranean mussel)
Lineage: Eukaryota; Metazoa; Mollusca; Bivalvia; Mytilida; Mytilidae
Source: RNAcentral